Long non-coding RNA from Gadus macrocephalus (Pacific cod), 440 nucleotides. RefSeq lists it as uncharacterized. The record is from RefSeq and is a predicted model, not a curated record. The transcript is spliced from 3 exons. NCBI's taxonomy places the organism in Eukaryota, Metazoa, Chordata, Actinopteri, Gadiformes, Gadidae.
UAUACCUCACACACACACACACACACACACACACACACACACACACACACACACACACACACACACACACACACACACACACACACACACACACACACACACACACACACACACACACACACACACACACACACACACACACACACACACACAGUGUGUAGGUACAGUAUGAGUAGUGACAGUAGGGUGUGUAGGUACAGUAUGAGUAGUGACAGUAGGGUGUGUAGGUACAGUAUGAGUAGUGACAGUAGGGUGUGUUGUUACAGUAUGAGUAGUGACAGUGGGGUGUGUAGGUACAGUAUGAGUACAGUAUGUGUACUGACAGUAGGGUGUGUUGCUGUGUGUAGGUACAGUAUGAGUAGUGACAGUGGGGUGUGUAGGUACAGUAUGAGUACAGUAUGUGUACUAACAGUAGGGUGUGUUGCUGUGUGUAGGUACAG